RNAcentral lists this precursor RNA (59 nucleotides) under Spodoptera frugiperda (fall armyworm). Its description in RNAcentral is "partial precursor microRNA 3". It matches the Rfam family "mir-46/mir-47/mir-281 microRNA precursor family", at positions 15 to 72 of the family's 85-position model. From Rfam's summary of the family: The hairpin precursors (represented here) are predicted based on base pairing and cross-species conservation -- their extents are not known. In this case the mature sequences are expressed from the 3' arms of the hairpin precursors. Lineage: Eukaryota; Metazoa; Arthropoda; Insecta; Lepidoptera; Noctuidae. The record is from RNAcentral.
AAGAGAGCUAUCCGUCGACAGUAUUGCCAGUAAACACUGUCAUGGAGUUGCUCUCUUUA